This 463-nucleotide ribosomal RNA is filed under the name uncultured bacterium. RNAcentral describes it as "bacterial SSU rRNA". It matches the Rfam family "Bacterial small subunit ribosomal RNA", at positions 28 to 507 of the family's 1533-position model. The record is from RNAcentral.
GACGAACGCUGGCGGCGUGCCUAACACAUGCAAGUCGAGCGGAGACAAUGACUUCGGUUGUUGUUUUAGCGGCGGACGGGUGAGUAACGCGUGAGCAACCUUUCUCUUACUGGGGAAUAACACAGGGAAACUUGUACUAAUACCGCAUGAGACCACAGAGGGGCAUCCUUCAGGGGUCAAAGAUUUAUCGGUAAGAGGUGGGCUCGCGUCUGAUUGGAUAGUUGGUGGGGUAACGGCCUACCAAGUCGACGAUCAGUAGCCGACCUGAGAGGUUGAUCGGCCACAUUGGGACUGAGACACGGCCCAGACUCCUACGGGAGGCAGCAGUGGGGAAUAUUGCGCAAUGGGGGCAACCCUGACGCAGCAACGCCGCGUGAAGGAUGAAGGUCUUCGGAUUGUAAACUUUUGUCUUGAGGGACGAACAAGGACGGUACCUCAGGAGGAAGCCACGGCUAACUACGUG